RNAcentral lists this ribosomal RNA (659 nucleotides) under uncultured Erwinia sp. RNAcentral describes it as "bacterial SSU rRNA". It matches the Rfam family "Bacterial small subunit ribosomal RNA", at positions 853 to 1515 of the family's 1533-position model. Lineage: Bacteria; Pseudomonadati; Pseudomonadota; Gammaproteobacteria; Enterobacterales; Erwiniaceae. The record is from RNAcentral.
UAACGCGUUAAGUCGACCGCUGGGGAGUACGGCGCAAGGUUAAAACUCAAAUGAAUUGACGGGGGCCCGCACAAGCGGUGGAGCAUGUGGUUUAUUUCGAUGCAACGCGAAGAACUUACCUGGCCUUGACAUCCACGGAAUUUGGCAGAGAUGCCUUAGUGCCUUCGGGAACCGUGAGACAGGUGCUGCAUGGCUGUCGUCAGCUCGUGUUGUGAAAUGUUGGGUUAAGUCCCGCAACGAGCGCAACCCUUAUCCUUUGUUGCCAGCGAUACGGUCGGGAACUCAAAGGAGACUGCCGGUGAUAAACCGGAGGAAGGUGGGGAUGACGUCAAGUCAUCAUGGCCCUUACGGCCAGGGCUACACACGUGCUACAAUGGCGCAUACAAAGAGAAGCGACCUCGCGAGAGCAAGCGGACCUCAUAAAGUGCGUCGUAGUCCGGAUCGGAGUCUGCAACUCGACUCCGUGAAGUCGGAAUCGCUAGUAAUCGUAGAUCAGAAUGCUACGGUGAAUACGUUCCCGGGCCUUGUACACACCGCCCGUCACACCAUGGGAGUGGGUUGCAAAAGAAGUAGGUAGCUUAACCUUCGGGAGGGCGCUUACCACUUUGUGAUUCAUGACUGGGGUGAAGUCGUAACAAGGUAACCAAGGGCGAAUUCUG